UACAGCCAUAUCAAAUUGAAACACCAGUUCUUGUAUGAUCACUGAAGUUAAGCAACAUUGAGCCUGGUCAGUACCUAGAUGGGUGACCGCUUGGGAAUACCAGC
Non-coding RNA from Acanthosepion pharaonis, 104 nucleotides. NCBI's taxonomy places the organism in Eukaryota, Metazoa, Mollusca, Cephalopoda, Sepiida, Sepiidae. The record is from the annotation of a GenBank genome assembly.